AGAGCAUUGUAAAGCGAUAACGACGAGAAGUGGAAGGGAGUUGAUUAGUGAGAGUAAAAAAAGAGAUGAGAGUGAAAAAAAAGAGGAUGAGAAAAAAGAUGAGGAGAAAAAAUAGAGGAUAGCAUUGAUGGUGAAGUUGGGGAGUGGAGUGAGGAAGAAGUUGAAAAGAAUGAAAAAAAUGGUGAAGUAGAAAAUAAAGAAAGUGU
Molecule: long non-coding RNA, 206 nt
Filed under: Lathyrus oleraceus (garden pea)
Lineage: Eukaryota; Viridiplantae; Streptophyta; Magnoliopsida; Fabales; Fabaceae
Description: Pisum sativum (pea) long non-coding RNA (PSAT_LNC022764)
Source: RNAcentral